RNAcentral lists this long non-coding RNA (345 nucleotides) under Equus asinus (donkey). RNAcentral describes it as "lncRNA (ENSEASG00005023901.1)". Lineage: Eukaryota; Metazoa; Chordata; Mammalia; Perissodactyla; Equidae. The record is from RNAcentral.
CAGAGGCCUAUGCCAGCAUCUGUCCCCCCAGAUUGUACCUUGUAGCCUCUGGGAAAGUAUUUUGUGGUUCUCAAGUUCUCAGACCACCAGAAUAUAAGGACCUCUCUGGGACCUCGGAACUGAGAUUCCUGAAGGGGCUGGGGGUCGAGGGGAGCCUGUCUGCCGUGCGGGUCGGAGCAAGCCUGAGCCCAGAUGCCCUGGGAAAGGCAAUUGACCCAGUUGGGUUCAGGUCACAAGUUCCCACCUGCCUCCUGUGGGUUGUGGUUCCAAGGAAAAGCUGGAACGAGACGGCCUAUGGAAUAGCAAGAUUGAUUGUGUCGUUCUGGCCUUUGAGGGAAGAAGGGG